UACGUAGGGUGCGAGCGUUGUCCGGAUUUAUUGGGCGUAAAGAGCGUGUAGGCGGCCAGGUAGGUCUGCUGUGAAAACUCGAGGCUCAACCUCGAGACGUCGGCGGAAACCAUCUGGCUAGAGUCCGGAAGAGGAGAGUGGAAUUCCUGGUGUAGCGGUGAAAUGCGCAGAUAUCAGGAAGAACACCCGUGGCGAAAGCGGCUCUCUGGGACGGUACUGACGCUGAGACGCGAAAGCGUGGGGAGCGAACAGG
This 253-nucleotide ribosomal RNA is filed under the name uncultured bacterium. RNAcentral describes it as "partial 16S ribosomal RNA". It matches the Rfam family "Bacterial small subunit ribosomal RNA", at positions 524 to 776 of the family's 1533-position model. The record is from RNAcentral.